GGGUUGUGAGGUUAAGCGACUAAGCGGACACGGUGGAUGCCCUGGCAGUCAGAGGCGAUGAAGGACGUGCUAAUCUGCGAUAAGCGUCGGUGAGGUGAUAUGAACCGUUAUAACCGGCGAUUUCCGAAUGGGGAAACCCAGUGUGUUUCGACACACUAUCAUUAACUGAAUCCAUAGGUUAAUGAGGCGAACCGGGGGAACUGAAACAUCUAAGUACCC
This 219-nucleotide ribosomal RNA is filed under the name Escherichia coli. Its description in RNAcentral is "partial 23S ribosomal RNA". It matches the Rfam family "Bacterial large subunit ribosomal RNA", at positions 1 to 211 of the family's 2925-position model. Lineage: Bacteria; Pseudomonadati; Pseudomonadota; Gammaproteobacteria; Enterobacterales; Enterobacteriaceae. The record is from RNAcentral.